Molecule: long non-coding RNA, 1498 nt
Organism: Bos taurus (domestic cattle)
Lineage: Eukaryota; Metazoa; Chordata; Mammalia; Artiodactyla; Bovidae
Source: Ensembl
UGGAUCUUUGAGGGGAAAAUAGUGACCUCUUGAUGUGUGUCAGAAUGGAUCUUCUGAGUGCAAACAGUGACCUCUUGAUAACAAUUGACCAAGUCCUGGACUCUUGCUGCUGAGAUGAACAUUCUUCACUCCUGAUAAACAGGAUAUCGGACUCCCCUCAGAGAUGAUGCCUGCUCACCUGACUCCAUCCCAGAUCACAGCCACACCAUCUAGACAACCUGGACCCAUAGGUGUGAUGGGAACCGCGUUGUUCCAGGCCACACGUGUGCAGACCAGUGUCCCACACUGUAUAGCGUCAUCAGGCACAGACUCUGAGAACGGAAAGGAACCUUCGAGCUUGUUGACGGGGAAAUGGGUUCGAUCCCUGAUCUGGGAAGAUUCCACAUGCCGCGGAGCAACUGAACCUGUGUGCCACAACUAUUGAACUUGUCCUCUGGAUCCUGGGAACUGCAACUACUGAGCCCAUGCACCACAGCUACUGAAGCCCGUGCACCCGAGAGCCUGUGCUCUGCAACAAGAGGAGCCACUGCAAUGAGAAGCCUGUGUGCCACAACUGGAGAGGAGCCCCUGCUCACUGCAACUAAAGAAAGCCCUCACAAAGCACCGAAGACCCAGCACAACCCAAAAUAAAUGAAUAAAUAAAAUUAUAUAGAAAAGAAUGAGUGGGUCUAUGGGGAUACUAUAGCAGAGGCUGUCCCAUUAAACUGGGGACCAGUAGCCCAUGUUGUAAUACACAUCACAGUGGCCAAGCCACAGCAUCCUUGCCUGCAGCUCCCCUCUCAUCACCUCCAACCUCUGCCUCCACAUCAUUGUAAGGAAGGAAGAAAAGGGAGGUGGGGGGGAAUCUUGCUGCUAGGUUUGCAGAGGAUGCUGCUGAUUUCUGAACCAGAACGGACUUUGAAAAGUCCUCCUGAGUCUAAAAAGAUGAAGACUCAUUGCUUCAACCCUUGCAGUAAACAUCCUGGGUAACCUUCACCUCAAACCUCAGAGGUUUCGAGAUGGCACAGAACAUGCUGUGCCGUGUUUAUUUCCCAUCACUUGGUGGAGAAACUCUGCACGGGAAGGAGGAGGCAGAAAUGAAGCCCUGGAGGUACUGCAGGGUGGGUUCCAGACCUCCGCAAUAAUGUGAAUCUCGCAAUAAAGUGAGUCACGUGGAUUUUUUUUUUUUUGGUUUCGCAGUGUAUAUAAAAGUGUAAUACACUCUACUGUAACCUGUUAAGCAUGCAAUAACAUUAUGUCUAAAAAAAAGUACAUCCCUUCACUGAAAAAUACUUUCUUGCUAAAAAAUGCUAACCAUCAUGUGAGCCUUCAGUGGGUCAUCACUUUUUUGCAAUAGUCCUGUCAAAGAUCACCAUCACAACUGUAAUACUAAUGAAAAAUGUGAAAUACUUGUGGAGAAUGGCCAAAAUGUGAAACAGACACAAGUGAGCAAAUGCUAUUGGAAAAGUGGCACCCCUAGACGUGUCCGAACCCAGGUUGCUGCAAACCUUCAAUGUGU